UGGAACUAAACACACACACACACUCUCACACACACACUAGAGAGCUCCAGACCACCGUGGCGACAUGAGUGGUGACUGGAGUCCUGCGUUGUUCUGUUCAUAGCUCGCGCACGGCGCACAAGGCCAGUAGAGGCAUUGUGUUUAGCUAUCGCUAGGCGAAUGGGAAUCAGUGCAGCUGUUGCUCUGUUGUUAGCCAGUGCUAAGUGAGCGCUGGAGCUACAGGGAGGGCUGGAGCUGUGUGGGGUGGUGUGGAGGACCUGCUCCACUGACUGCUCAGACAGAAAUAGCACAUGAGCGAGCGUGUCCAUUUCCACUGGCUGCCACUCAACACCAGCCCCACGCAGAGCCGCGUACGCGACAGGCUAACCUUGCGCGCUAACCUCGCACGCUAGCCUCGCUAGCCUCCUCCUGCUUCAAAGCAGCUGCUGCAGCAGGCCUUUCGCUUUCUCAAAACUGGCCAACCGAUGAGAAGAGACUGCUCCCGGUAACCGUGGGAAACUAUCUAUCUCGGAAUACUCUUCAAUGCCCCCCAUUCCACCAUGGAACCCUGCACAAGAAUGAAAAGGGAGGCGAUGAGGUAGUGGUCUGCUGAGCUCUUAACAGUCUGACCGAAGAGCACACGUGUGUGUGUGUGUGUGUGUGUGUGUGUGUGUGUCCUCUCCAGCCUCUCGCUCUGUGAGUGAGUUCGGUGUGUGUGACCAUGAGCUGCCUGGACAAGCGGAGUGUGUGUCUGCGCGUGACACACCACCACCGGAACCUGACCAGCUCGUGCGAGAGCCUGACGGACGAGGCCGAUCGCGAGGUCAGCACGCUGACGGACCGCGCCUUCCACUCGCUCUGCAUCGGCGACGAGGCCGUCUACAACGACGCCGAGUUCCUCACGCCGUCGCCCAGCAGCUGCCUGCUCAAGCCGCUGGCGGACGAGCACGCACGGAAGGUUCUGGAGAAUGCCCCGAGCCUCGUCAACAAGAAACUCGGCUCCAACGGCGCCGCCACCGUCGCCUGGCAGCACAAGGAUGUGUCGUCUCUCCUGUCCGCCUUCACAGCCGGGAAGAAUGGCGGCGCCGCCGCUAGAAUCCCGAACGGAACGCCGGCUGGGAAUAACGCGGAGUCGUGGGAUAAAUCGGCUCUGCUGAGCAUCCAGAGGGAGCUGGCAGAGUUCUCCAGCGACUUCUACAGGAGCCUGGCCGACGGCAGCUUCGCCGACGCCACCGGGAAGCAUAAAGGCGGAUCCACCGCCGAGAAAAAAUCCUGCAAGGAAACGUCCGGCAAGGAUGCCACCGCUUGCGCUUCCUCGGGGGGGAAGUCCUCCAAGUCCAAACACAGCAGCAGGUCCAGCAAGCUGAAGAAGCUGAACUCCCGCAACUUCUUCCUGCACAGCGAGUUCAGCCCGUUCCAGGCGUGGGAGGACCUACACCAGUUCCCCUUCGGACAGGAGAACAUUUCCGACCUGCUGCCGCCCCCCCACAGCUUCCCCCGCUGGGGCGACACCACCACUCUCUACAGACACCUCACUGCCGCACACACACUCAGUCCUGCCGCACACACACUCAGUCCUGCAGCACACACACUCAGUCCUGCAGCACACACACUCAGUCCUGCAGCACACACACUUGACCUUGCACACAGAUCAGGAGCCUUGCGGGGCCCAGAGGCAGUGCAGAGGACGGAGAGGUCACACAAAACUGAAACUGCACAGAGAUCAAAACACACUCAGAUACUCGACACAGCACAGGGCACUGAAAAUGUACAAAUAACUGCAACUGUGCAAAGGGCUGAAAGUGGACAAAAGACUGAGACCGCACAGAGAUUUGACACUGUGCAAAGAAUUGAAAGUGCACAGAGAAUUGACACUGUGCAAAGAAUUGAAAGUGCACAGAGAAUUAACACUGUGCAAAGAAUUGAAAGUGCACAGACAACUGCGACUGCACAGAGGGUGGACGAGUCAAAGAGAGCAGCGCGCCUGCGGGGGGGGGAGGGGGCUGAGCCGCUGCCCAAACCUGCAGGGGUGGAGGGGGGGCCGCCGGCUGCGGUACAGACUCCCUCUCUGGUGCCAAACCCUGCUGCCUUGGAGCAGCGCCGCCCCUCGGCAGACAGCGCGGAGUGUAGCGCCCCCUGGAGGCGAAACAGGAGCAGGGCGAGGAGCGCUGCCCCCGGUGGCCAAAGGGAGAAGAGCUCCCCCGCCACCGAGCCGCCCAGGAGACAGGAAGUGAGACAGGAAAUGAGAGAGGAAGUGAGACGCAUGGAGGAGCAGAGCUCCCCCGCCACCGAGGCCGGGCCGCCCAGGAGACAGGAAGUGAGACAGGAAGUGAGACAGGAAGUGAGACGCAUGGAGGAGCAGAGCUCCGCCAGCUCCACGCCGUUCAACAUCACACACCUGCUCACGCCCGUCAUCCUCUGUCGCCAGGAUACGGAGAGCUUGGAGCCCGCCCUCUUCUCGCCCGUGACCCUUGACCUCCCCGUUGCUGCAGUGCCCGAGCCCUCGCCCGAGACGAAGACGAAGGCGCGCGAGAGCUACCGGUCCAUGGCCACCAGCCUGCUCUUCAACCUCAAGGACAACAGGAAGAGAGUCAAGGCCAUGUACAGCCCGCCCAAGUUCAGACCCACCAGAGACCCACCUGCCCACCAGAGCAAGCCGGAGGGCACAGACAUGUCCGCGUGCACAGCUGCCCACCAGAGCAAGCCAGAUGGCACAGACAUGUCCGCGCGCACAGCGGACGGGCGACACCAGGACACGCGGGGGACAGAUCAGCUCUGCGUUCCCAACAGCGUUCCCAACAGCGUCGUCGCGCAGGGAGGCUCCCCCCAGGAGGCCCUGAGCAGGAGUCCUGUUGUGGUGAACACGUCUGGAUACCCGUGUCGGAAUCUGUACGCUACUGCUGAGGUUGCCACGGAGACUCAGGAACAGAACAGGCGUGGCCACGUCAAGGAGACCCCCAAGAGAUCGGUCAAGGACCGAGUCAAAGAGCUGCAGAGGCAGAACGCCGCGACUGUGAGUAAGGACCCCGGAAAGAGAGGCAAAGAAAUACCACCUGUGUGUCCUACUACUGGCCUCCAGGCCAUAGAUGGUGCUGUGGAUAAAGAAGGAGACAGAGAUACAUUAAAAGAGGAGAGACGACUGCCUGAUUUACCAGAGAAACCAUCUGAGAAACCCAAACCAGCCAAACAACCCCCUCCUGUAGCAGCCAGAGUCAAACUCUCUUCAUCACCCAGAGAGACACACUCCAUCUCCAACACUAAACACUCUUCACCCAGAGAGACACACUCCAUCUCCAACACUAAACACUCUUCACCCAUCGAGACACACCCCUCACCGAGAGAGACACACUCCGACACUAAACACCCCUCACCCAGAGAGACAGACUCCAACAUUAAACACUCUUCACCCAGAGAGACACACUCCAUCUCCAACACUAAACACCCUUCACCCAGAGACACAGACUCCAACUCUAAACACUCUUCACCCAGAGAGACACACUCCAUCUCCGACACUAAACACACUUCACCCAGAGAGACAGACUCCAUCUCCAACACUAAACACUCUUCACCCAGAGACACACACUCCAUCUGUGACGCUUCACCCAGAGACACACACUCCAACAAUAAACACUCUUCACCCAGAGAGACACACUCCGACACUAAACACUCUUCACCCAGAGAGACAGACUCUAGCUGUGACGCUAAACACGCCUUCUCUGCUCGGCAGAACAACUACAUCAAAAGCCAGAGGAGCGCCUUCGUGGGGGAGCAGGAGGAGGAGUGUGAGGAGUGGGACGAGCUCAGAGAGGAGGCUCUGCUGAAGGAGGUGAAGGCUGAGCUUCAGGAGCAGCAGCGGGCAGAGAGAACUAAGGCUGAGCUUCAGGAGCAGCAGCGGGCAGAGAGAACUAAGGCUGCGCUUCAGGAGCAGCAGCGGGCAGAGCAGCGGGCAGAGAGAGCUAAGGCUGAGCUCCAGGCUCGUCAGGAGCAGCAGCGGGCAGAGAGAACUAACGCUGAGCUUCAGGAGCAGCGGGCAGAGAGAGCUAAGGCUGAGCUCCAGGCUCGUCAGGAGCAGCAGCGGGCAGAGAGAACUAACGCUGAGCUUCAGGAGCAGCGGGCAGAGAGAGCUAAGGCUGAGCUUCAGGAGCAGCAGCGGGCAGAGAGAGCUAAGACUGAGCUUCAGGAGCAGCAGCGGGCAGAGAGAACUAAGGCUGAGCUCCAGGACCAGCAGCGGGCAGAGAGAACUAAGGCUGAGCUUCAGGAGCAGCAGCAGCGGGCAGAGAGAACUAAGGCUGAGCUUCAGGCUCGUCAGGAGCAGCAGCGGGCAGAGAGAACUAAGGCUGCGCUUCAGGAGCAGCAGCGGGCAGAGAGAGCUAACGCUGAGCUUCAGGAGCAGCGGGCAGAGAGAGCUAAGGCUGAGCUUCAGGAACAGCGGGCAGAGAGAGCUAAGGCUGAGCUUCAGGAGCAGCAGCGGGCAGAGAGAACUAAGGCUGAGCUUCAGGAGCAGCGGGCAGAGAGAACUAAGGCUGAGCUUCAGGAGCAGCGGACAGAGAGAACUAAGGCUGAGCUCCAGGCUCGUCAGGAGCAGCAGCGGGCAGAGAGAACUAAGGCUGCGGACCACCAGCGCGCGGGACUCCGCUCCGCUCCGAAAGAGUCUCCGAUGCCCCCCCGGGACGACGUACCAGCGCCAAAUGAGAGCCCAAGGCGUGAAAAUAACAUUCUGUUACCCUCGCCCUUGCCUGACGGGCGCACCCAAAAGGGCAUCGUACCCCUCAGAGGCAACACACUGGCCAAGCGAGACCUGUUCGCCAACAUGCACCCGCAGCCACCGGGCAGACACGCCACGAGGCAGAACGCCACGCUCGACAAAUACGACCUGGCCAAGAUGGCGCUGGAGGAGGUCAUAGCGGAGAGAGAGGAGAGGAAGAGGAGAGGUCAGGGGUCAUCGGAACACAAGCAGCAGGGAGGUGUAGAGGACCGUCAGGAGAACAGAACCGUGGUCUCACAGCAGAGAGAGAGAGAACCGAGCAGGGUUCUGAGGGACAGAAGGGAGAACAGACAGGAUAUUUCUGUGCGCGGCGACCAGACGAUGCACUCUGACCAGCAGGCCGAGAGCACUAAAGGACCUGUGGCCCCUCGAGGGCAAUUAGCCAAGGGUGUUCAUCAACAAGACCCCACGCCCCCCACCAAACAGAUCAAACACAACAGAGAAGGAAAGUCAGGCGAGAGGGGGAGGGUGGGUGGCGCUGAUGAGACUGGCAGGGGGAGGGGGG
Molecule: long non-coding RNA, 5249 nt
Organism: Clupea harengus (Atlantic herring)
Lineage: Eukaryota; Metazoa; Chordata; Actinopteri; Clupeiformes; Clupeidae
Source: Ensembl